Helianthus annuus (common sunflower) is the source of this 1534-nucleotide long non-coding RNA. RefSeq lists it as uncharacterized. The record is from RefSeq and is a predicted model, not a curated record. NCBI's taxonomy places the organism in Eukaryota, Viridiplantae, Streptophyta, Magnoliopsida, Asterales, Asteraceae. The transcript is spliced from 2 exons.
GUUGGGUGCGUGGUGGGUAUCGCGACCAGGAGGGGGAAAGAAAGGGUGAAACCCUACUUGUUCAAUCAAGGUCAAAAUUCAGCAAAUUAAUGGUGGUUCUUGACACAAAUCGAAUGCAUGAGACUGGAUACAACUUAACCUAAGUAUAUUGAUCAUAAGGAAUCACAUUAGCAAGGACUCGAAAGCGGAAGGUUAACGGGUCAAGCAGAGGCGAGGAAACAAGCGUGAACACUAACGCUCGAGGUAAGUGACUUUCGAUUCACUUCUUAGUAUACAUAUAGAGUUUUCUUGUUAUGGUUGAAUGGGAUGAUUGAUGUAUAUAAAAUGGCCGACAAGUAGGUAUGUGUGAAUGCAUUUAGGAAAAUUAUGUAAGUACAUGCACGUGUGAGCUAAGGUAUGCACGGGUAUAGUUAUGAUUCACUUUAUGAAUGUAUGUAAGUAUGGAGUUAUGUAAGCAUGUAUGUAUAUAUGUAGGUAUUGGUGUAUGUAUGUACGUAAGUAGUUAUGUAUGAGCAUGAGCAUUAUGUAAUUGAAUAUGAAAGUACAUACGUGUGUAGGUACGAACGUAUAUAUAUAUAUGUGGAUGCAAGUAAGUAUGUAUGUAUGUAUGUGAGUAGGUAUGUGUGUAUGUAGUUAUGUAUGUAUGUAUGUAAAUACAUAUGCGAAGAUGUAAUCAUGUAUGUAUGUAAUUAGAUGCGUGGGUAUGCAAGUAAAGGUAUGUAUGUAUGUAUGUAUGUGAGUAGGUAUGUGUGUAUGUAGUUAUGUAUGUAUGUAUGUAAAUACAUAUGCGAAGAUGUAAUCAGGUAUGUAUGUAAUUAGAUGCGUGGGUAUGCAAGUAAAGGUAUGUAUGUAUGUAGAUGUGUAUUAUGCGUAUGCGAAGAUACGUAGGUAUAUAUGAAUGUAUGUAGAGAAGUAGUAAUGCAUGCGCGAAUGUGGAUAUGGGGUUGGUAUAGAAGAAGGUACGUAUGAGUAUAUGCAGGUAUGUAGAAAUAUAGGAGGACAUGUACGUAUGUAGACGCAUAUGUAUACAUGUAAACAUGUACAUGUGCAUGAUUUAGAUACGUAGAAUUUUAACGUUACUAAUUAUGCGUUUGAGGUUGGUAUGUGAUGCAGGAACAAGUACACCGGAUUCUUACGAAACUUAAACCGAACCCGGAAUAAGAGGAUGAGAAAGAAUAAUUGGAUGAAUUAAUGUUAAAUUGACGACCGUUAUUCAAUCUUUAAUUACAUGAGAUUAAUGUUAUAUGAUGUUGCCUUUGACUAAUGGUUAAGUUGUAUGUGAUGCCCACAGGUGUUACACGGACUUCUUCUGUUGCUAUGGAAGUGAAGCGGACGUAGAUCGAGUCAAGAGCAAGGAUUGUACGGAUAGAUUGGUCACAUAGUUGAAGUAUAUAACGUUUGGAAAUCUAAAUUUUAGUAUGAAUGUUGUAAAAUUAUUUUAUAGUACGUUUAACAUUUUUAGGAUUUGGAUCCUUCGUGAAAGAAAUGUUGUUAAUACGGAAGAAAAUUUUAAAGCUCUUUUUCCGCUGCGUUA